RNAcentral lists this transfer RNA (77 nucleotides) under Candidatus Bathyarchaeota archaeon. Its description in RNAcentral is "tRNA-Trp". It matches the Rfam family "tRNA". Rfam says of the family: Transfer RNA (tRNA) molecules are approximately 80 nucleotides in length. Their secondary structure includes four short double-helical elements and three loops (D, anti-codon, and T loops). Lineage: Archaea; Thermoproteati; Candidatus Bathyarchaeota. The record is from RNAcentral.
GGGGCCGUAGUCCAGCCAGGUAGGACGACGGGCUCCAGACCCGUAGGUCGCCGGUUCAAAUCCGGUCGGCCCCACCA